GACGAACGCUGGCGGCGUGCUUAACACAUGCAAGUCGAACGGAAAGGCCCUGCUUUUGUGGGGUGCUCGAGUGGCGAACGGGUGAGUAACACGUGAGUAACCUGCCCUUGACGUUGGGAUAACUUCAGGAAACUGGGGCUAAUACCGGAUAGGAGCUCCUGCUGCAUGGUGGGGGUUGGAAAGUUUCGGUGGUUGGGGAUGGACUCGCGGGUUAUCAGCUGGUUGGUGGGGUAGUGGCUUACCAAGGCUUCGACGGGUAGCCGGCCUGAGAGGGUGAACGGCCACAUUGGGACUGAGGUACGGAGCAGACUCCUACGGGAGGCAGCAGUGGGGAAUAUUGCACAGUGGGCGGAAGCCUGAUGCAGCAACGCCGCGUGCGGGAUGACGGCCUUCGGGUUGUAAACCGCUUUCGCCUGUGACGAAGCGUGAGUGACGGUAAUGGGUAAAGAAGCACCGGCUAACUACGUG
This 468-nucleotide ribosomal RNA is filed under the name uncultured bacterium. RNAcentral describes it as "partial 16S ribosomal RNA". It matches the Rfam family "Bacterial small subunit ribosomal RNA", at positions 28 to 507 of the family's 1533-position model. The record is from RNAcentral.